AGCUCACUCAACAAUUAAAGCGUAUGGCUUCGGUUGCCUACGGACAUCAAGCCUCUUACGGCAAGCUCGCUUGGCUACGAAUGAUGGCAUGACUCCACAAGGGUUUGAGAGCUUUGGCCUAAUCUCCUACAGUAACAGCAUUGACUCACACGAUCGAGUAUUAAUUUCUACCGCAUGCCCAAUUGUACGAAAGGCUGUUUGCCUCAUCACAUCACAGGUAACCCAGCCCCCUCUAUAAAAGGGGAAUUUCUCCAUUUUGAGGGGGAGAAAGAAAAAUUCUAACUACUUCUACCUCCGUUCAUACACUUGCCCUCACUGACUUGAGCGUCGGAGGGCCGGCGCGGGACAGCUCGGCCACCGGCUUUUUGCAGGUCCCCCGGAGGACGCCGCACAUCG
This 396-nucleotide long non-coding RNA is filed under the name Phoenix dactylifera (date palm). RNAcentral describes it as "long non-coding RNA (PDAC_LNC014627)". The record is from RNAcentral. Lineage: Eukaryota; Viridiplantae; Streptophyta; Magnoliopsida; Arecales; Arecaceae.